AGAGUUUGAUCCUGGCUCAGAUUGAACGCUGGCGGCAUGCCUUACACAUGCAAGUCGAACGGUAACAGGUUAAGCUGACGAGUGGCGAACGGGUGAGUAAUAUAUCGGAACGUGCCCAAUCGUGGGGGAUAACGCAGCGAAAGUUGUGCUAAUACCGCAUAAGAUCUACGGAUGAAAGCGGGGGAUCGCAAGACCUCGCGCGAGUGGAGCGGCCGAUAUCAGAUUAGCUAGUUGGUGGGGUAAAGGCCCACCAAGGCGACGAUCUGUAGCUGGCCUGAGAGGGCGACCGGCCACACUGGGACUGAGACACGGCCCAGACUCCUACGGGAGGCAGCAGUGGGGAAUAUUGCGCAAUGGGCGAAAGCCUGACGCAGCGACGCCGCGUGAGGGACGAAGGUCUUCGGAUUGUAAACCUCUUUCAGCAGGGAUGAAGCGAAAGUGACAGUACCUGCAGAAGAAGCACCGGCUAACUACGUG
This 477-nucleotide ribosomal RNA is filed under the name uncultured bacterium. RNAcentral's name for it is "partial 16S ribosomal RNA". It matches the Rfam family "Bacterial small subunit ribosomal RNA", at positions 8 to 507 of the family's 1533-position model. The record is from RNAcentral.